AGGGUUCGAUUAUGGCUCAGGAUGAACGCUAGCUACAGGCUUAACACAUGCAAGUCGAGGGGAAACGAUAGAGAAAGCUUGCUUUUUCUAGGCGUCGACCGGCGCACGGGUGAGUAACGCGUAUCCAACCUGCCCAUCACUUGGGGAUAACCUUGCGAAAGUAAGACUAAUACCCAAUGAUAUCUCUAGAAGACAUCUGAAGGAGAUUAAAGAUUUAUCGGUGAUGGAUGGGGAUGCGUCUGAUUAGCUUGUUGGCGGGGUAACGGCCCACCAAGGCGACGAUCAGUAGGGGUUCUGAGAGGAAGGUCCCCCACAUUGGAACUGAGACACGGUCCAA
RNAcentral lists this ribosomal RNA (337 nucleotides) under uncultured bacterium. Its description in RNAcentral is "bacterial SSU rRNA". It matches the Rfam family "Bacterial small subunit ribosomal RNA", at positions 8 to 334 of the family's 1533-position model. The record is from RNAcentral.